UGGCUACCAUAUGCUUUAUUACUUCCUUUAUUACGUCCUAGGUCAUAAAUCAUUUUAUUGGGGGUCAUAAAUCACUGGUUUGACAUAAGGGGUUUAAUAUCCCUCCUCACAUCCACUUUUAAAGUGCUUUAGGGUUAGGGGUUUUUUAUUCAUUCUUUAUUCAUUCUUCUGUGCAAAAACAUAUUUAUUGUAUUUAAAAUUUCAAAGUUUGGCACAUUUAUGCUCUUGUCUGCAAACAUUAAUAGACUCUGCAGUACAGCUGGCUCCUGUGCUUUUUUAAUAUUCUGCAUUGGCGUCUCCUCCAGCUACAGCUCCUUCUGGCUUUGCGGAGGGCUUUCUUAUAAAGCAGCAAACUAUUUCUCCAGGCUAAAUGAUGAUCCUCUAAAUUUGUGACACGCCAUUUCCUCUCCAGCUUACGAGUUAUCUGCUUUAGGCUACGUGUUUGAGAAUUAUACCACGGAGUCAGGGACUUUGGAUUUGAGGCCUUAGUUUUCACAGGAGCUACAGUAUCCAGAGUCGUACGUAGUGAGGAGGUAAAAUUAUUAACAAGAUAAUCGACCUCUGUUGGAGUAGCGUUCAGAUAGCUGCUCUGCUCUAUGUUGGUACAGGGCAUUGAAGAUGAUAACAGUGGGUGGAUUAUAUUCUUAAACUUAGUUACAGCACUUUCAGAAAGACAUCUACUUUGAUAAAGUCUACUCUCCACUGCUGUGUAAUCAAUUAUUGUAAAUGUAAAUGUUAUCAGGAAAUGAUCAGACAGCAGAGGGUUUUCAGGAAACACUGUUAAAUAUUCAGUUUCUAUGCCAUACGUUAAAACAAGAUCUAGAGUGUGAUUAAAGUGGUGGGUGGGUUCUUUUACAUUUUGAGAGAAGCCAAUUGAGUCUAGUAACAGAUUAAAUGCGAUGUUGAGGCUGUCAUUUUUAGCAUCUACAUGGAUGUUAAAAUCACCCACAAUAAUUAUUUUAUCUGAGCUGAGCACUAAAUCAGAUAAAAAGUCUGAGAAAUCAGAGAGAAACUCUGUGUAAGGCCCAGGUGGACGAUAGAUGAUAACAAGUAAGACUGGUUUCUGAGUUUUACAGCUGGGGUGGACGAGGCUAAGCAUCAGGCUUUCAAAUGAAUUAAAAGUCUGUCUUGGUCUUUCGUUAAUUAAUAGGCUGGUGUGAAAAAUUGCUGCCACACCGCCCCCUCGGCCUGUGCUUCGGGAUUUCUGGUAGUUAGAAUGACUCGGGGGUGUUGAUUCAUUUAAACUAACAUACUCAUCCUGCUGCAACCAGGUUUCUGUAAGGCAGAGUAAAUCGAUUUGUUGAUCAAUUAUUAAGUCAUGUACUAACAGAGACUUGGAGGAGAGAGACCUAAUAUUUAAUAAUCCACAUUUCACUGUUUUACUCUUUGGUUCAGAUGUGGAUACUGUAUUGUUCUUUCUUUGUGAUUUUUUAUGUUUAAGUUGUUUAUUGCUGGUUUUUAGUUUGUUUUUUGUCUUUU
This 1479-nucleotide long non-coding RNA is filed under the name Oreochromis niloticus (Nile tilapia). Its description in RNAcentral is "lncRNA (ENSONIG00000039026.1)". The record is from RNAcentral. Lineage: Eukaryota; Metazoa; Chordata; Actinopteri; Cichliformes; Cichlidae.